RNAcentral lists this ribosomal RNA (493 nucleotides) under uncultured bacterium. Its description in RNAcentral is "partial 16S ribosomal RNA". It matches the Rfam family "Bacterial small subunit ribosomal RNA", at positions 29 to 523 of the family's 1533-position model. The record is from RNAcentral.
AUUGAACGCUGGCGGCAUGCUUUACACAUGCAAGUCGAACGGUAACAGGUUAAGCUGACGAGUGGCGAACGGGUGAGUAAUGCAUCGGAACGUGCCCGGUCGUGGGGGAUAACGCAGCGAAAGCUGCGCUAAUACCGCAUACGAUCUGAGGAUGAAAGCGGGGGACCGUAAGGCCUCGCGCGAUCGGAGCGGUGGAUGUCAGAUUAGGUAGUUGGUGGGGUAAAGGCUCACCAAGCCAACGAUCUGUAGCCGGUCUGAGAGGACGACCAGCCACACUGGGACUGAGACACGGCCCAGACUCCUACGGGAGGCAGCAGUGGGGAAUUUUGGACAAUGGGCGAAAGCCUGAUCCAGCAAUGCCGCGUGCAGGAAGAAGGCCUUCGGGUUGUAAACUGCUUUUGUACGGAGCGAAAAGGUCUCCUCUAAUACAGGGGGCUCAUGACGGUACCGUAAGAAUAAGCACCGGCUAACUACGUGCCAGCCGCCGCGGUAA